UUUCCAGCAGCCGCGGUAAUACGUAGGUGACUAGCGUUGUCCGGAUUUACUGGGCGUAAAGAGCGCGCAGGCGGUCGUUCAAGUCGAGUGUGAAAGCCCCCGGCUCAACUGGGGAGGGUCAUUCGAUACUGAUCGACUCGAAGGCAGGAGAGGGAAGUGGAAUUCCCGGUGUAGUGGUGAAAUGCGUAGAUAUCGGGAGGAACACCAGUGGCGAAGGCGACUUCCUGGCCUGUUCUUGACGCUGAGGCGCGAAAGCUAGGGGAGCAAACGGGAUUAGAAACCCGCGUAGUCC
This 292-nucleotide ribosomal RNA is filed under the name uncultured bacterium. RNAcentral's name for it is "partial 16S ribosomal RNA". It matches the Rfam family "Bacterial small subunit ribosomal RNA", at positions 505 to 796 of the family's 1533-position model. The record is from RNAcentral.